GCCGAAGGUGGGGCUGAUGACUGGGGUGAAGUCGUAACAAGGUAGCCGUACCGGAAGGUGCGGCUGGAUCACCUCCUAACAGGGAGACAAAAAAAAAGAUCUUGAUGCCUGAGUGUUUAAUUCUUAGGCCAAGGUCCUGUCACCUUAGGUCGAUCGGUACCUCAAAUUUAUAACUUUGAUUAUGAAUUUCAGUUCCUAAACUUUGUCUAGGUCACACCCCGCAAGGGUUACUCCUGGGCCAUUAGCUCAGGUGGUUAGAGCGCACCCCUGAUAAGGGUGAGGUCCCUGGUUCAAGUCCAGGAUGGCCCAUUCGGUGUUGGGGGUUUAGCUCAGUUGGUAGAGCGCCUGCUUUGCAAGCAGGAUGUCAGCGGUUCGAGUCCGCUAACCUCCACUGGCCAACCUUCUUUAACGCCAAAGUUGAGGAGCAAUUGUGUGUUGUGACUUGGAUUGAGUCCCGCUGAAGGAACCUAGCUUCUUUUCAAUUCAGAAUUAAAUUCAUUAGUUCUCGCUGAAAGGAUGCUGGGCUCUCUUAGAUUCAUUGAAUCCGAUAGAAGUUCAGCAGAACCUUGACAACUACAUAGGUGAGUCUGGAAAGAAAAAAAAGCAUCUCAUGGAUAUGUUUUCUUUUCUACUUUCAGUAAGUAAGAAAAGAAUAACUUAUAAAUUCUUGAGUAAGAGCUGAGUGCUUAUAGCGUCUUUUUUGCUUUUUUAAAAGGCAUAAAGAGUUUGAUUGAUUGUUUAUUGACUGUCUAUUUAUUUAGAUAUUUAUUGAACACUCAAGAAUACGUGUCAACAACGUUUAG
This 803-nucleotide unclassified non-coding RNA is filed under the name uncultured Prochlorococcus sp. RNAcentral describes it as "partial may contain 16S ribosomal RNA, 16S-23S ribosomal RNA intergenic spacer, and 23S ribosomal RNA". The stretch from base 319 to 391 matches the Rfam family "tRNA". Lineage: Bacteria; Bacillati; Cyanobacteriota; Cyanophyceae; Synechococcales; Prochlorococcaceae. The record is from RNAcentral.